This 401-nucleotide ribosomal RNA is filed under the name uncultured microorganism. Its description in RNAcentral is "bacterial SSU rRNA". It matches the Rfam family "Bacterial small subunit ribosomal RNA", at positions 9 to 407 of the family's 1533-position model. The record is from RNAcentral.
GAGUUUGAUCGUGGCUCAGAUUGAACGCCGGCGGCAUGCCUUACACAUGCAAGUCGAACGGCAGCAUGAUCUAGCUUGCUAGAUUGAUGGCGAGUGGCGAACGGGUGAGUAAUACAUCGGAACGUGCCCUGUAGUGGGGGAUAACUAGUCGAAAGAUUAGCUAAUACCGCAUACGACCUGAGGGUGAAAGUGGGGGACCGCAAGGCCUCAUGCUAUAGGAGCGGCCGAUGUCUGAUUAGCUAGUUGGUGGGUAAAGGCCCACCAAGGCGACGAUCAGUAGCUGGUCUGAGAGGACGAUCAGCCACACUGGGACUGAGACACGGCCCAGACUCCUACGGGAGGCAGCAGUGGGGAAUUUUGGACAAUGGGCGAAAGCCUGAUCCAGCAAUGCCGCGUGUGUG